AUUGAACGCUGGCGGCAUGCUUUACACAUGCAAGUCGAACGGCAGCGCGGGCUUCGGCCUGGCGGCGAGUGGCGAACGGGUGAGUAAUGCAUCGGAACGUGCCCAGUAGUGGGGAAUAGCCCGGCGAAAGCCGGAUUAAUACCGCAUACGACCUGAGGGUGAAAGCGGGGGACCGAAAGGCCUCGCGCUAUUGGAGCGGCCGAUGUCGGAUUAGCUAGUUGGUGGGGUAAAGGCUUACCAAGGCGACGAUCCGUAGCUGGUCUGAGAGGACGACCAGCCAAACUGGGACUGAGACACGGCCCAGACUCCUACGGGAGGCAGCAGUGGGGAAUUUUGGACAAUGGGGGCAACCCUGAUCCAGCCAUGCCGCGUGCGGGAAGAAGGCCUUCGGGUUGUAAACCGCUUUUGUUCGGGAAGAAAUCCUCUGGGCUAAUACCCCGGGGGGAUGACGGUACCGGAAGAAUAAGCACCGGCUAAAUACGUG
RNAcentral lists this ribosomal RNA (484 nucleotides) under uncultured bacterium. Its description in RNAcentral is "partial 16S ribosomal RNA". It matches the Rfam family "Bacterial small subunit ribosomal RNA", at positions 29 to 507 of the family's 1533-position model. The record is from RNAcentral.